CCUACGGGAGGCAGCAGUGGGGAAUAUUGGACAAUGGGGGCAACCCUGAUCCAGCCAUGCCGCGUGUGUGAAGAAGGCCCUCGGGUUGUAAAGCACUUUCAGUGAGGAAGAACGCCUGGUGGUUAAUACCCAUCAGGAAAGACAUCACUCACAGAAGAAGCACCGGCUAACUCCGUGCCAGCAGCCGCGGUAAUACGGAGGGUGCGAGCGUUAAUCGGAAUUACUGGGCGUAAAGCGCGCGUAGGUGGCUUGAUAAGCCGGUUGUGAAAGCCCCGGGCUCAACCUGGGAACGGCAUCCGGAACUGUCAAGCUAGAGUGCAGGAGAGGAAGGUAGAAUUCCCGGUGUAGCGGUGAAAUGCGUAGAGAUCGGGAGGAAUACCAGUGGCGAAGGCGGCCUUCUGGACUGACCCUGACACUGAGGUGCGAAAGCGUGGGUAGCAAACAGGAUUAGAUACCCGGGUAGUC
This 465-nucleotide ribosomal RNA is filed under the name Vreelandella stevensii. RNAcentral describes it as "partial 16S ribosomal RNA". It matches the Rfam family "Bacterial small subunit ribosomal RNA", at positions 338 to 795 of the family's 1533-position model. Lineage: Bacteria; Pseudomonadati; Pseudomonadota; Gammaproteobacteria; Oceanospirillales; Halomonadaceae. The record is from RNAcentral.